This 252-nucleotide long non-coding RNA is filed under the name Gossypium barbadense (sea-island cotton). RNAcentral's name for it is "long non-coding RNA (GBAR_LNC018401)". Lineage: Eukaryota; Viridiplantae; Streptophyta; Magnoliopsida; Malvales; Malvaceae. The record is from RNAcentral.
GAGGAGAAGAAACAGAGAGAAACAUACAGCAGCAUAGGAAAGGCGUGAUUCAAGCAAGCAGAAUUUCCUAAAAUUGGACCAGCAAAUCCGAUCAAGGAGCUAGAGUAGCAGCUAGUAAAUUCGGCUAAUUGGGAGAAGGGAAAUCGGACGACUUGAAGAGCUUUGCCUUCCAAGAAUCAGUUUGUAAUUCAUGUUCUCUUCAAUGGUUUCGUGUUCUGUUUUACUAGCUAUGAGUGGCUAGUUUAUUUACGC